Molecule: ribosomal RNA, 468 nt
Filed under: uncultured bacterium
Lineage: Bacteria
Description: partial 16S ribosomal RNA
Rfam family: Bacterial small subunit ribosomal RNA
Source: RNAcentral
GACGAACGCUGGCGGCGUGCUUAACACAUGCAAGUCGAACGGAAAGGCCCUUCUUUUGUGGUGUUCUCGAUUGGCGAUCGUUUGAUUAACACGUGAGUAACCUGCCCUUUACUUUGGUAUACCUUCAGGAAACUUUGUCUCAUACCGGCUAGGAUCUCCUGCUUCUUUUUUGUUUUUGUAACGUUUCGGCGGUUGGGGAUGGACUCGCGGCUUAUCAGCUUGUUGGUGGGGUAGUUGCUUACCAAGGCUUUGACGGGUAGCCGGCCUGAGAGGGUGACCGGCAAAAUUGGGACUGAGAUACGGCCCAGACUGCUACGGGAGGCAGCAGUGGGGAAAAUUGCACAAUGGGCGGAAGCCUGAUGCAGCAACGCAGCGUGCGGGAUGACGGCCUUCGGGUUGUAAAAAGAUUUCGCCUGUGACGAAGCGUGAGUGACGGUAAUGGGUAAAGAAGCACCGGCUAACUACGUG